This 497-nucleotide ribosomal RNA is filed under the name uncultured bacterium. Its description in RNAcentral is "partial 16S ribosomal RNA". It matches the Rfam family "Bacterial small subunit ribosomal RNA", at positions 28 to 507 of the family's 1533-position model. The record is from RNAcentral.
GAUGAACGCUGGCGGCGUGCCUAAUACAUGCGAGUCGAGCGAACAGACGAGGAGCUUGCUCCUCUGACGUUAGCGGCGGACGGGUGAGUAACACGUGGAUAACCUACCUAUAAGACUGGGAUAACUUCGGGAAACCGGAGCUAAUACCGGAUAAUAUAUUGAACCGCAUGGUUCAAUAGUGAAAGACGGUUUUGCUGUCACUUAUAGAUGGAUCCGCGCCGCAUUAGCUAGUUGGUAAGGUAACGGCUUACCAAGGCAACGAUGCGUAGCCGACCUGAGAGGGCGAUCGGCCACACUGGAACUGAGACACGGUCCAGACUCCUACGGGAGGCAGCAGUAGGGAAUCUUCCGCAAUGGGCGAAAGCUUGACGGAGCAACGCCGCGUGAGUGAUGAAGGUCUUCGGAUCGUAAAACUCUGUUAUUAGGGAAGAACAAAUGUGUAAGUAACUAUGCACGUCUUGACGGUACCUAAUCAGAAAGCCACGGCUAACUACGUG